This is an RNA transcript of Trifolium pratense (red clover), 3678 nucleotides long. It is a transcript of the gene named F-box/LRR-repeat protein 2-like, with no coding region annotated. The record is from RefSeq and is a predicted model, not a curated record. Lineage: Eukaryota; Viridiplantae; Streptophyta; Magnoliopsida; Fabales; Fabaceae. The transcript is spliced from 4 exons.
AUUUAGGUUGUUUGUUGAAGAGGAAUUUUAGGUUAUUUCAAAGCUAUAUAUAUAUUAACUAGUCUUUUGUUGAAAGAAAUAGAUAGAUACAGUAGAUCGGAAGCUGCUAUGGCAAUGGCAAUGGCAUCAUCAAGCAGAAAAAGAAUGGCGUCGUCAGAUAUACCCAAUGAUUGCUGGGAGUUGGUGGUAUCUAAACUCCUGAACGAUAACGAGAUCGAUAAAGUGGAGGAGCGUAAUCAUUAUUUAGAGACACUAUCUAUGGUAUCAAAACAACUACUCUCAAUAAGCAGCACUUUUGUGAAUACCUUCAAAUUAAUUUCAAAUCCAUCAUCUCGCCUCUUCCACAGGUUCACAAACCUAACCUCCCUCGAUCUCUCCACUUUCCACGGCGGCGACAUCAACGCACUUCUCUCCCGAAUCCCUCCCGCUUCUGUUUCCCGACUCACAUCCCUUAACCUCUCUAACCACCCGACCUUCCCCAAAUUAGGGUUACAAUCUAUUAUUCUCAAUAAUAACAACAACAACCCUACAUUCAGAUUGACCUCUCUCAUCUGUUCAAAUAUUGCUUCUCUCAAAUUUACUGAUAUAACCUUCAUUGCACAUUCCUUUCCGUUUCUCCAACAUUUGGAUAUCAGUUUCGACGGAGGAGGAGACGACGACUGCAUCAAGGAGGAUUAUAACAAUGCUCUAAAUCUUGUUGCCAGAAAGCUUUCGAAUCUCCUCAAAGUUAAUCUCUCAGGUAAUGUCUACGUUAAUGAUUCGUCGUUACUUGAACUAUGUAUCAACUGUGAGUUUCUACAAGAGGUGCUUAUAUUGCAUUGCCCUUUGAUAACACAUGCUGGUAUUGCUUUUGCAAUACGCCGCAGACCUAGUUUGAAUUCGCUUUCUAUUAGUAACUUUAGGGAGGAUCCAACACAAAUUGAUGACUUUACAUCCUAUUUCAUUGAUUCAUUGGCCACUUUGAAGAACUUAACUUGUCUUGAUUUGUCUUUUUCGGGUAUCUCUGAUGUGUUGCUUUACUCUAUAGCACUUGAUCAUCUUCCUUUGAGGAAACUUGUUCUCCAAGGUUGCUAUAAUUAUACUUACACUGGUAUCUCUUAUCUCUUGUCCAAGCGUCCGUCUCUGCAACAUCUAGAUCUUCGACACGCAGUGUUUUUGGAUGACCAGCGUUUCAACCACCUCUGCCAAUUUUUUGGUGAAUUGGUGUCUAUUAAUGUCGGUUGCUGUGACAAGCUCACCAAUUCAUCCUUCUUUGCACUCCUUACCAACUGUCCUAUGCUCGCCGAGAUCAGAAUGGAGUCCACAAAAAUUGGAAUUGGUCCAACACCGUCCGUGGUGGAUUUGGUUGUAUACCCUCAAGUCAAGUCUCUCCAUUUGGCUUACAAUUCAGCUUUGGCAGACAAACACAUCAACAUCUUUGGUUUCAUGUUUCCUAAAUUGCAACUUCUUGAUUUGAGCUUUUGCCGUCACAUAUCUCAACAACAUAUUGCUAUACUAUUAAAGAGAUGUAAUAAGAUCAGGCAUUUGGAAUUUGCCUGUUUCCCACAAGCUAAGCCAUUUUCCAUCGACUUUGAUGAAGCUUCCAACCUGGAGGUGCUGAACUUGUCGCACUCAACAAUUGAAGAUGAAGAACUGUAUGAAAUCUCAAAGUUUUUCCCUCGCCUUCUGCAACUCGACCUGGGACAUUGUUAUGAUGUCACGGACAAGGGAGUUGGGCUAGCUGUAGAAAACUUCACACACCUCAGAGAGAUUAAUUUGCGACAAUGUCGUAAAGUGUCUACUAAUAUCGUUUCCUCAAUGAUAUUUUCCAGGCCGUCAUUGAGAAAAAUAACGGCUCCGCCUCAUUUUCGCCCCCGUGACUGUGAUAGGAAACUCCUCUUUCGACAAUGUCUAGUUUUCUAGUAUUCUGAUCCUCAUUCAUCUUGGCAGAGCUUUGAAAUCUAUAUUGAGGGAUAUAACAUCUGAUCGCUACGGUAGAAAACCUAUUAUAAUUAGAGGGGUUAUUAGCACAGUGUAAGUAUAUAUAUAUGUCAUGUGAAGGGAUCCUUUUCUUUGCCUUCAAGCUAGCUAGACUCUUUAUGUUUUGCUAUGACCACAAUGGUGUUUGCUUGAUUUCUGUGUCGUUUUCAACACGUUGUUUGGUGAGUUAACCCUCUGACUUGUGAGUUAUUGUUAAAAACAAAAAAAAUUAUUGAAUCUCUGUAGGUCAUCCAUAUUUUAAAUAAGCCUUGCUUAAAAAGGUGCAUUUCUACAUAUCUUAUCAGGCUGUGUUGUUUGGUCUUGUGAUGGUGUGGUUCUAUUUUGUUUUGGGUGUCUUGCUGCGUCGUUUUAAUCGUACUGUAUUGAUUUUAAAUGUCAUUUAAUAUAAUUUUGUAGAUAUAUAUUAUUUGAUCCUUCUAGGUGUAACUCAUGUGAUGCCAUGGUUUUCAUAUAUAAAACAUGUAGUUAGUCAUCAGUAUUCAGUAUAUGUUGGUAAGUGCUAAAUGUAUAUACUUAUAAUGAAUGUUUGGCAUAUACUUCUUUUUUAUAUAUCUAUCUGUCAACAAUCACCAUUAUCCUAGGCAAGUCGAGUUUUCAUUGUUAAUUAAGCUUUAAAUUAAAUAUAAGACUCGAUCCAUAUUAUCAUUGAACCAAAACCUAUUAGCACGGACCAUGUUGGAAAAACUUAAAUAGAACUUAUUAAAAGUAGGUUCCACGAGUUCCUUGUGCAAAGCUUCCUUGUUGCUUGAAAUUGAAAUUUUGUUAGUGAUCAUAGUGUUAUGUUUCAAUAGCUAACACAUUCACCCAAAUGCCAUUCCAAGUAUAGAAUCAGAUUCCAUAGUUGCUUCUGGUAGAGAUCUUAGACAUGGUUUUAUAUAUUUGGCGAAUAAUUAUUUGUUUCCUCUUAUUUUCAGGAUAGGGAUGUCUUGUAGCUACUUAUGGUUUGAAUAUGAAUGUGCUUCAGGGUGUUUUUUUUCUUCUUAUAUUAUUAUUAUUAUUAUUAUUAUUAUUAUUAUUAUUAUUAUUAUUAUUAUUAUUAUUAUUAUUAUUAUUAUGAUUGUUGUUGUUGUCAACCCUUAAUGUAUUAAAAUCUUGCAUAAAUUUGCUGUCUUCUGUCCAUUAUGCAGAUUUGUUUGGAGUAUCAUGUCCAUGUGGUUGCCUUCUUGCUAUUGGCAUGAGAAUCUCCUAUUUCUAGGUAUUGUCGUGUUGCUUAGUCUUGUGAUGGUGUGGUUCUAUUUUGUUUUGGGUGUCUUGCUGCAUCAUUUUAAUCGUCCUGUAUUGGUUUUAAAUGUUUUUGCAGUGUUCAUGUAUGUAUCUUUGUAGCUAAUUAUGCAUUGUUUAGCCAAAACAAGUUUAGAUUAUCUGCUUUUUUUUAUAGGUUGAGUAUUGUCUAAGAUUUGUAUCUUGCAGAGUAUGGAUAAAUGUCCACUACAUACAAUAUAGAUUCUCUGCAUUUUUUAACAGGUAAUUGGCUAGUCAACGUGGUUUUCUGAGUAUCUUUUCCUGGAGAGAAGUUGGGCCAAGGAUGAAAACACAUUGAAACUUAUUUGCUGUCAGGUAUAAAGCGGUUGAGUGAUUUCCCUCUUCCUUUUUGGUUGGCUCUCUUCGUAGAAAGAACACAUUUUACAAAUGUCAAACUAUUAGCUGCUCAUGAAUAUGCAACCUCCACUGGAUUGCCUGUUCCUAGAAACUAAGGUG